RNAcentral lists this microRNA precursor (71 nucleotides) under Bombyx mori (domestic silkworm). RNAcentral's name for it is "mir-2774 microRNA precursor family". It matches the Rfam family "mir-2774 microRNA precursor family". The record is from Rfam by way of RNAcentral. Lineage: Eukaryota; Metazoa; Arthropoda; Insecta; Lepidoptera; Bombycidae.
ACAAAAUUUAGACUGUCAGUCUACCGAGCAAUUUCACCCGCUCGGUGGAAGAUAGAUUUUCCCUUUAUCGU